UGGGGAAUAUUGCACAAUGGGCGCAAGCCUGAUGCAGCAACGCCGCGUGAACGAUGAAGGUCUUCGGAUCGUAAAGUUCUGUUGCAGGGGAAGAUAAUGACGGUACCCUGUGAGGAAGCCCCGGCUAACUACGUGCCAGCAGCCGCGGUAAUACGUAGGGGGCUAGCGUUGUCCGGAAUCACUGGGCGUAAAUGGUUCGCAGGCGGAAUAACAAGUCAGAUGUGAAAGGCAUGGGCUCAACCCAUGUAAGCAUUUGAAACUGUAAUUCUUGAGAAGUGGAGAGGUAAGUGGAAUUCCUAGUGUAGCGGUGAAAUGCGUAGAUAUUAGGAGGAAUACCUGUGGCGAAGGCGACUUACUGGACACAAAUCUGACGCUGAGGAACGAAAGCGUGGGUAGCAAACAGG
RNAcentral lists this ribosomal RNA (404 nucleotides) under Verrucomicrobiota bacterium. Its description in RNAcentral is "Verrucomicrobia bacterium partial 16S ribosomal RNA". It matches the Rfam family "Bacterial small subunit ribosomal RNA", at positions 355 to 776 of the family's 1533-position model. Lineage: Bacteria; Pseudomonadati; Verrucomicrobiota. The record is from RNAcentral.